CGCCAACGAGAAAGCAUUUGCCUUCCGGCUGCAGAUGGAAGGAAUCCCGGAUGCGACGAAGAGGCAGCCGCUUUGGCUGCGGAACGACAAGGCACAGACGGUGUUUCUUAGAGCGAGCGAUUUACAUUCCCGAGAGGUCCAGGGCUGGUAAGCUAGUGUGUGGUGUUGGUAUUUUUUCUUUUUUUUUCUCCUCUCUACAUUCAGCUUCAUCAGUAAGCAGAGGGAGAGGACCCUGUUGAGCGACAAGUGUCCCGGUUCAGCGAGAGCAGCAGAGAGGGUUCGAUCACCUCGACCCAGAUGGAACAGGACGUCCCCGGCGAGCGUGGGGUUCUCCGAGGCGGUUUUCAAAGUGUGGGUUUUCGCGGAACACUCUGCGCCACACAUCAUCGGCACGUACGAGGCGAUGGCUGGCGAGAACAUCCCCACCAACACGCUUCCUGUUCCCCGACAUCUCUAAAGACGAGGCCGUUGGGAAGUACUAGCCCAAACCCUGUGAAAAAAAGUUUAAGCGACUUGCAGCUCCAGAGCGAAUGGAUGUGGACAACGCAGAGCGUACGGGUUACCUGAAGACGGAGCUCAUAUCUGUCUCCAAAGAUGAGUGCAGAAUUUGAGGAGCAAAAGCGAGGACGGCAGAACUUCAUCCACGUUUUAGACAGUACUUUGUUAAAGUAUUUUUAAAGUGUAAAGUAGUUAAAGACUUUGAAUAAGUUGCUAAA
Molecule: long non-coding RNA, 716 nt
Organism: Scatophagus argus
Lineage: Eukaryota; Metazoa; Chordata; Actinopteri; Scatophagidae
Exons: 3
Source: RefSeq, a predicted model, not a curated record